GAUUGAACGCUGGCGGCAUGCCUUACACAUGCAAGUCGAACGGUAACAGGUCUUCGGAUGCUGACGAGUGGCGAACGGGUGAGUAAUACAUCGGAACGUGCCCGAUCGUGGGGGAUAACGGAGCGAAAGCUUUGCUAAUACCGCAUACGAUCUACGGAUGAAAGCAGGGGACCGCAAGGCCUUGCGCGGACGGAGCGGCCGAUGGCAGAUUAGGUAGUUGGUGGGAUAAAAGCUUACCAAGCCGACGAUCUGUAGCUGGUCUGAGAGGACGACCAGCCACACUGGGACUGAGACACGGCCCAGACUCCUACGGGAGGCAGCAGUGGGGAAUUUUGGACAAUGGGCGAAAGCCUGAUCCAGCCAUGCCGCGUGCAGGAUGAAGGCCUUCGGGUUGUAAACUGCUUUUGUACGGAACGAAAAGACUCUUUCUAAUAAAGAGGGUCCAUGACGGUACCGUAAGAAUAAGCACCGGCUAACUACGUG
This 483-nucleotide ribosomal RNA is filed under the name uncultured bacterium. RNAcentral's name for it is "partial 16S ribosomal RNA". It matches the Rfam family "Bacterial small subunit ribosomal RNA", at positions 27 to 507 of the family's 1533-position model. The record is from RNAcentral.